This 440-nucleotide ribosomal RNA is filed under the name uncultured bacterium. RNAcentral describes it as "partial 16S ribosomal RNA". It matches the Rfam family "Bacterial small subunit ribosomal RNA", at positions 338 to 795 of the family's 1533-position model. The record is from RNAcentral.
CCUACGGGAGGCUGCAGUGGGGAAUAUUGCACAAUGGGGGAAACCCUGAUGCAGCGACGCCGCGUGAGUGAAGAAGUACUUCGUUAUGUAAAGCACUAUCAGAGGGGAAGAAAAUGACGGUAACUGAGUAAGAAGCCCAGGCUAACUACGUGCCAGCAGCCGCGGUAAUACGUAGGGGGCAAGCGUUAUCCGGAUUUACUGGGUGUAAAGGGAGCGCAGACGGCAGUGCAAGUAUGGAGUGAAAGGCGGGGGCUCAACCCCCGGACGCCUCAGGAAACUGUACGGCUGGAGUGCAGGAGAGGGAAGUGGAAUUCCUAGUGUAGCAGUGAAAUGCGUAGAUAUUUGGAGGAACACCAGUGGCGAAGGCGGCUUACUGGACUGUAACUGACGUUGAGGCUCGAAAGCGUGGGGAGCAAACAGGAUUAGAUACCCUUGUAGUC